CGGUCUAAACAUGCAGUCGAGCGAUCGGAUUAGAGCUUGCUUCGCUGAUGUUAGCGGCGGACGGGUGAGUAACACGUGGAUAACCUACCUAUAACACUGGGAUAACUUCGGGAAACCGGAGCUAAUACCGGAUAAUAUUUUGAACCGCAUGGUUCAAAAGUGAAAGACGGUCUUGGUGUCACUUAUAGAUGGAUCCGCGCUGCAUUAGCUAAUUGGUAAGGUAACGGCUUACCAAGGCAACGAUGCAUACCCGACCUGAGAGGGUGAUCGGCCACACUGGAACUGAAACACGGUCCGACUCCUACGGGAGGCAGCAGUAGGGAAUCUUCCGCAAUGGGCGAAAGCCUGAGAGAGCCACGCCGCGUGAGUGAUGAAGGUCUUCGGAUCAUAAAACUCUGUUAUUAGGGAAAAACAUAUGUGUAAGUAACUGUGCACAUCUUGACGGUACCUAAUCAGAAAGCCACGGAUAACUACGUGCCACCACCCGCGGUAAUACGUAGGUGGCAAGCGUUAUCCGGAAUUAUUGGGCGUAAAGCGCGCGUAGGCGGUUUUUUAAGUCUGAUGUGAAAGCCCACGGCUCACCCSUGGAGGGUCAUUGGAAACUGGAAAACUUGAGUGCACAAGAGGAAAGAGGAAUUCCGUGUGUAUCGGUGAAAUGCGCAGAAAUAUGGAGGAACACCGGUGGAGAACGCGACUUUCUGGUCUGUAUCUGACUCUGAUGUGCGAAAGCGUGGGGAUCAAACGGGAUUAUAUACCCUGGUAGUCCCCGCCGUAACGAUGAGUGCUAAGUGUUAGGGGGGUUUCCGCCCUUUAGUGCUGCUCUAACGCAUUAAGCACUCCCGCCUGGGGGAGUACGAGCGCGAUGGUUGAACUCAAAGGAAUUGACGGGCAGCCGCACAAGCGGUGAGCAUGUGGUUUAAUUCGAAUCAACCCGAAGAAUCUUACAAAUCUUGAAAUCCUUUGACAUCUCUAGAGAUAGAGUCUUCCCUCGGGGCAAAAGUGACGAGUGAUGCAUGGUUGCCAUCAUCUCGUGUCAUGAGAUGUGGAUUAUUCCCUCACCACCGCCACCGUGAGCCUUAGUUGCCAUCUUGAAGUUGUCAACUCAGCUGACUGCUAGUUGAACAGCGGAAAAGCGGCGUGGAAAAUGGACGGG
This 1153-nucleotide ribosomal RNA is filed under the name Staphylococcus aureus. Its description in RNAcentral is "bacterial SSU rRNA". It matches the Rfam family "Bacterial small subunit ribosomal RNA", at positions 43 to 1197 of the family's 1533-position model. Lineage: Bacteria; Bacillati; Bacillota; Bacilli; Caryophanales; Staphylococcaceae. The record is from RNAcentral.